CCCGGGCCUUGUACACACCGCCCGUCACACCACGAAAGUUAAUUGCACCAGAAGUCGCUAUACCAACCGUAAGGAGGAAGGCGCCCAAGGUUUGAUUAAUGAUUGGGGUG
RNAcentral lists this ribosomal RNA (110 nucleotides) under uncultured bacterium. RNAcentral's name for it is "partial 16S ribosomal RNA". It matches the Rfam family "Bacterial small subunit ribosomal RNA", at positions 1373 to 1482 of the family's 1533-position model. The record is from RNAcentral.